This 45-nucleotide non-coding RNA is filed under the name Trichobilharzia regenti. Lineage: Eukaryota; Metazoa; Platyhelminthes; Trematoda; Strigeidida; Schistosomatidae. The record is from RNAcentral.
GUCCACAUGAUGAGUCCCAAACAGGACGAAAUGUGCAUGCUGGAU